This 282-nucleotide unclassified non-coding RNA is filed under the name Hevea brasiliensis (rubber tree). The record is from RNAcentral. Lineage: Eukaryota; Viridiplantae; Streptophyta; Magnoliopsida; Malpighiales; Euphorbiaceae.
ACAGAAACUUAAUUUGAAAAUGCUGUGCAAAAUUGGAUGCAUAUCAAUUAUCAACCAAAACAAAGGAGCAUGUGUUUCUCACUAAAGCAGCUCAUAGAUUAAUCGUGUGUCAACUAGUCAGACCAAAGAUAAGCACGUUUGCAAGAAGAACCUGAGUCCACAAAGAAAACUCAAAAAUUAACCCUAUAAACUUCUCCAAACUACUUCCCCUAAGCAAAAUCAUCAAUUUUCAUGUGGGAGUAAUCCAAAAGAUUCUCAAAACCACUGUCCAAACCAUUCAAG